This 331-nucleotide ribosomal RNA is filed under the name uncultured bacterium. RNAcentral describes it as "bacterial SSU rRNA". It matches the Rfam family "Bacterial small subunit ribosomal RNA", at positions 568 to 899 of the family's 1533-position model. The record is from RNAcentral.
UGUGUAGGCGGUCCCCUAAGUUUGGUGUGAAAUCUCCCGGCUCAACCGGGAGGGUGCGCCGAAAACUGGGGGUCUAGAGUACGGGAUGGGAGAGUGGAAUUCCUGGUGUAGCGGUGAAAUGCGUAGAUAUCAGGAGGAACACCGGUGGUGUAGACGGCUCUCUGGACCGUAACUGACGCUGAGACACGAAAGCGUGGGUAGCAAACAGGAUUAGAUACCCUGGUAGUCCACGCCCUAAACGAUGCAUAUUUGGUGUAGGUCAUUCAGUUGAUCUGUGCCGGAGCUAACGCGUUAAAUAUGCCGCCUGGGGAGUACAGUCGCAAGGCUGAAA